RNAcentral lists this long non-coding RNA (933 nucleotides) under Pan troglodytes (chimpanzee). Its description in RNAcentral is "long non-coding RNA NONPTRT004645". The record is from RNAcentral. Lineage: Eukaryota; Metazoa; Chordata; Mammalia; Primates; Hominidae.
CACAGAUGAGACCUCCAUAGUCACACAGCGACCUCCACAGCCACAUGCGACGUGACCUCCAUAGUCACACGAAGACCUCCAAAGCCACGUGGACGAGACCUCCAUAGUCACACACGACCUCCACAGCCACAUGGGACCAUGGGACGUGACCACCAUAGUCACCCAAAGACCUCCAUAGCCACACAGACGAGACCUCCAUAGUCACAUAGCGACCUCCACAGCCACACAGACGAGACCUCCAUAGUCACACAGCGACCUCUACAGCCACACGGGACUCGACCUCCAUAGCCACACAGCGACCUUCAGAGCCACAUGGACGAGACCUCCAUAGUCACACAGCGACCUCUACAGCCACACGGGACUCGACCUCCAUAGCCACACAGCGACCUCCACAGCCACACGGGACGCGACCUCCAUAGUCACACAGAGACCUCCACGGCCACAUGGACGAGACCUCCAUAGUCACACAGCAACCUCCAUAGUCACACAGCGACCUCCAUAGUCACACAGUAACCUCCAUGGUCACACAGCGACCUCCACAGCCACAUGGGACGCGACCUCCAUAGUCACACAGCGACCUCCACGGCCACAUGGGACGUGACCUCCAUGGUCACAGAGACCUCCACAGCCACAUGGAUGAGACCUCCACAGUCACACAGCGACCUCCAUAGUCACAUAGUGACCUCCAUAGUCACACAGCAACCUCCACAGUCACACAGCGACCUCCACAGCCACACGGGAUGUGACCUCCAUACUCCCACACAGACCUCCAUAGCCACACGGACGAGAGAGACCUCCAUAGUCACACAGCGACCUCCACAGCCACACGGAACGCGACUUCCAUGGUCACAUAGUGACCUCCAUAGUCACACAGUGACCUCCACAGCCACACGGGACGCGACCUCCACAGUCACACAGGAUGCAACCUCCACA